AGAAGACCCAUGUUCACAACAUGGAUAUAUGGUGGGCCAGGCCAUGGCCAACCCAGACCCUUCUGACCCGCUGUGUUAUCUGAUGGGGCUGUGGAAGCAGCUAUUCCUAUUUUGAGACUCUCUGCUGAUGAAGACACUAUAGAACAAGAUUUCAGGCUCCUAUUUGGCGAGGUCACUGCCAACAAAUUCUUGGAAAAGUGGCCCACCAAUCUGAAGGCAAAAGUUAUAAAGGAAAGCCAUGGACUGGUACCCACCA
This is a long non-coding RNA of Micropterus dolomieu (smallmouth bass), 256 nucleotides long. RefSeq lists it as uncharacterized. Lineage: Eukaryota; Metazoa; Chordata; Actinopteri; Centrarchiformes; Centrarchidae. The transcript is spliced from 3 exons. The record is from RefSeq and is a predicted model, not a curated record.